RNAcentral lists this long non-coding RNA (395 nucleotides) under Phasianus colchicus (ring-necked pheasant). RNAcentral's name for it is "lncRNA (ENSPCLG00000016647.1)". Lineage: Eukaryota; Metazoa; Chordata; Aves; Galliformes; Phasianidae. The record is from RNAcentral.
AGUGAGCAAGAUGGAAAAAAAGAAAUGGGUGGCGGUGCGGAAUUGGAAGGAAUUUCAGAGCCAGGAGGAGAGGAGUUUCGGUUUCCCGGAGGAGCUGGUUUUUUUGGGGGCGUUUUAGGAAGAUUUGGGAUUUUUUUUGGAGCCGGGAGUGGAAGAGCGAAGGCGGCGACGAGGCAGGGAGGAGAAAUUUAGAGGAAAAAAAAAGGACUUUUUGGUUCAAACUGCACAUGGGGCCCUGGGACAGAAGGCGGCGGUCAGGAGGAAAUGGAAAAAGAGGAAAGAAUGGCAAAAGUGAAAGGGAGGAGGAAAUGAUGGAAAAAGGAGGAGAACGUAAUAGGGAAGGAAAAAAAAGAUCAGAGGAGAAAAUAAUGGAAAAAAGAGAAAAAGAAAAAUAG